RNAcentral lists this ribosomal RNA (554 nucleotides) under uncultured bacterium. RNAcentral's name for it is "partial 16S ribosomal RNA". It matches the Rfam family "Bacterial small subunit ribosomal RNA", at positions 355 to 900 of the family's 1533-position model. The record is from RNAcentral.
UAGGGAAUCUUCGGCAAUGGGGGCAACCCUGACCGAGCAACGCCGCGUGAGUGAAGAAGGUUUUCGGAUCGUAAAGCUCUGUUGUAAGUCAAGAACGGGUGUGAGAGUGGAAAGUUCACACUGUGACGGUAGCUUACCAGAAAGGGACGGCUAACUACGUGCCAGCAGCCGCGGUAAUACGUAGGUCCCGAGCGUUGUCCGGAUUUAUUGGGCGUAAAGCGAGCGCAGGCGGUUUGAUAAGUCUGAAGUUAAAGGCUGUGGCUCAACCAUAGUUCGCUUUGGAAACUGUCAAACUUGAGUGCAGAAGGGGAGAGUGGAAUUCCAUGUGUAGCGGUGAAAUGCGUAGAUAUAUGGAGGAACACCGGCGGCGAAAGCGGCUCUCUGGUCUGUAACUGACGCUGAGGCUCGAAAGCGUGGGGAGCGAACAGGAUUAGAUACCCUGGUAGUCCACGCCGUAAACGAUGAGUGCUAGGUGUUGGAUCCUUUCCGGGAUUCAGUGCCGCAGCUAACGCAUUAAGCACUCCGCCUGGGGAGUACGACCGCAAGGUUGAAAC